Molecule: ribosomal RNA, 253 nt
Filed under: uncultured bacterium
Lineage: Bacteria
Description: partial 16S ribosomal RNA
Rfam family: Bacterial small subunit ribosomal RNA
Source: RNAcentral
UACGUAGGUGACAAGCGUUAUCCGGAUUUAUUGGGCGUAAAGCGCACGCAGGCGGCCUAUCAAGUCUGACGUGAAAUCUCUCGGCUUAACCGGGAGCGGUCGUUGGAAACUGAAGGGCUUGAGGCGAUGAGAGGGGUGUGGAAUUCCCGGUGUAGUGGUGGAAUGCGUAGAUAUCGGGAGGAACACCUGUGGCGAAAGCGGCUCACUGGACCACAACUGACGCUGAUGCGCGAAAGCUAGGGGAGCAAACAGG